RNAcentral lists this unclassified non-coding RNA (329 nucleotides) under soil metagenome. Its description in RNAcentral is "partial contains 5.8S ribosomal RNA, internal transcribed spacer 2, and large subunit ribosomal RNA". The stretch from base 1 to 120 matches the Rfam family "5.8S ribosomal RNA", at positions 35 to 154 of the family's 154-position model. The record is from RNAcentral.
GAUGAAGAACGCAGCGAAAUGCGAUAAGUAAUGUGAAUUGCAGAAUUCAGUGAAUCAUCGAAUCUUUGAACGCACAUUGCGCCCCCUGGUAUUCCGGGGGGCAUGCCUGUCCGAGCGUCAUUACAACCCUCAAGCUCAGCUUGGUGUUGGGCCCCGCCGCCCCGGCGGGCCCUAAAGUCAGUGGCGGUGCCGUCCGGCUCCGAGCGUAGUAAUUCUUCUCGCUCUGGAGGUCCGGUCGUGUGCUCGCCAGCAACCCCCAAUUUUUUUCAGGUUGACCUCGGAGCAGGUAGGGAUACCCGCUGAACUUAAGCAUAUCAAUAAGCGGAGGA